AACGAACGCUGGCGGCAUGCCUAACACAUGCAAGUCGAACGAGACGUCCGGGUCUUUUUGCGCUCGUCGACGUGCGACGGGGUAAGUUGCACUUGGGUUCCGUAUACCUCCCCGAAGGGUAACUUAAUGACGGUUAAUGUCUUCGGGCCAAGGAUGUAUCGCCUUUGGGUGGGGCCGCGUUGGAUUAGCCGGUUGGUAGGGUACAAGCCGACCAUGGCGACGAUCCUGAGCUGGUCGGAGAGGAUGAGCAGCCACACUGGGACUGAGACACGGCCCAGACUCCUACGGGAGGAAGCAGUGGGGAAUAUUGGACGAGGGGCGAAAGACUGAUCCAGCAAUGCCGCGUGAGUGAUGAAGGCCUUAGGGUUGUAAAGCUCUUUUACCCGGGAUGAUAAUGACAGUACCGGGAGAAUAAGCGCCGGCUAACUCCGUG
RNAcentral lists this ribosomal RNA (433 nucleotides) under uncultured bacterium. RNAcentral describes it as "partial 16S ribosomal RNA". It matches the Rfam family "Bacterial small subunit ribosomal RNA", at positions 29 to 507 of the family's 1533-position model. The record is from RNAcentral.